RNAcentral lists this ribosomal RNA (253 nucleotides) under uncultured bacterium. RNAcentral describes it as "partial 16S ribosomal RNA". It matches the Rfam family "Bacterial small subunit ribosomal RNA", at positions 524 to 776 of the family's 1533-position model. The record is from RNAcentral.
UACAGAGGGUGCGAGCGUUGUCCGGAAUCACUGGGCGUAAAGGGCGCGUAGGUGGCUUGAUAAGUAGGGGGUGAAAUCUCGCGGCUCAACUGCGAGGCUGCCUCCUAAACUGUCGGGCUUGAGCAGAGUAGAGGCAGGUGGAAUUCCCGGUGUAGCGGUGGAAUGCGUAGAGAUCGGGAAGAACAUCAGUGGCGAAGGCGGCCUGCUGGGCUGUUGCUGACGCUGAGGCGCGACAGCGUGGGGAGCAAACAGG